UGGCAAUGCUCUACAAUGUUCCUGUUCAGU
RNAcentral lists this non-coding RNA (30 nucleotides) under Mus musculus (house mouse). The record is from RNAcentral. Lineage: Eukaryota; Metazoa; Chordata; Mammalia; Rodentia; Muridae.